Molecule: ribosomal RNA, 1435 nt
Filed under: Scinax duartei (Duarte's snouted treefrog)
Lineage: Eukaryota; Metazoa; Chordata; Amphibia; Anura; Hylidae
Description: partial 16S large subunit ribosomal RNA
Rfam family: Bacterial large subunit ribosomal RNA
Source: RNAcentral
GCCAAAAAUCUAGCUCGUCAUAAAUCCUAUGCACUUUUACCCCUAAUCACUCUAACUAAAACAUUCUUACAUUAUAGUAAAGGAGAUUGAAAAAAUUUACUGAAGCAAUAAACCUAGUACCGCAAGGGAAAGAUGAAAUAUUAGUGAAAAUACUUAAGCAAAAAAAAGUAGAGCCCAACUCUCGUACCUUUUGCAUCAUGGUUCAACUAGUCUAAUCAAGCAAAAAGCAUUACAGUUUGACCCCCCGAAACUAAGCGAGCUACUUCAGGGCAGCUUAAUGAGCCAACCCGUCUCUGUUGCAAAAGAGUGGGAAGACCCCUAAGUAGAGGUGAUAUAUCUAACGAGCUUGGUGAUAGCUGGUUACUCGGGAAAAGGAUCUUAGUCCAACCUAAAGUCUCACUAUUACCCCAAAAACACCUCUUGACUUUAGAGCAAUUCAAAUAAGGUACAGCUUAUUUGAAACAGGAUACAACCUAAUCUGACGGGUAAAAUUUUAUAUUGGGCCCCCAGUAGGCCUAAGAGCAGCCAUCUUUUUAAAAGCGUCACAGCUUAGCCCCCUCACCCCAUCCCAAUUCCCUAUAUUAACUUAAACCCUCUAACAAUACUGAGUAAUCCUAUACCUUUAUAGAAAAUUUUAUGUUGAAACUAGUAACAAGAACAUUAACCUUCUCUUAAAUGCAAACAUAAAUCAGAAAGGAUAAACCACUGAUAAUUAACGCCCCUGAGUACAUAUUAGCAACCCCACAAGAGAACCCUAAUAUACUUCACGUUAACCUGACACAAGAGCAUUUCAAGAAAGAUUAAAAGAAAGAGAAGGAACUCGGCAAAUAUUAACCCCGCCUGUUUACCAAAAACAUCGCCUCUUGACUAAAAAUAAGAGGUCCAGCCUGCCCAGUGACGAUUGUUCAACGGCCGCGGUAUCCUAACCGUGCGAAGGUAGCGUAAUCACUUGUUCUUUAAAUGGGGACUAGUAUGAAUGGCACCACGAGGGUUAUACUGUCUCCUCUUUCCAAUCAGUGAAACUAAUCUCCCCGUGAAGAAGCGGGGAUAAAAUUAUAAGACGAGAAGACCCUAUGGAGCUUUAAACUUCUUUUCAAACGCCAGACUACUCCUACAGGUCACCGACCUCCUAAUAUCUACCUGCGGCGUUAUGAAAAUGACUUUUAGGUUGGGGUGACCGCGGAGUACAGAAAAUCCUCCACGCUGAACUAGGCCUCCAAACCUUGAGCGCAGGGCUACAACCCAAACCACUAAAAAACUAACACCCAUUGACCCAAUUCUACUUGAUCAACGAACCAAGUUACCCUAGGGAUAACAGCGCAAUCCACUUCAAGAGUCCCUAUCGACAAGUGGGUUUACGACCUCGAUGUUGGAUCAGGGUAUCCCAGUGGUGCAGCCGCUACUAAUGGUUCGUUUGUUCAACGAUUAAAACCCU